This 402-nucleotide ribosomal RNA is filed under the name uncultured bacterium. RNAcentral describes it as "bacterial SSU rRNA". It matches the Rfam family "Bacterial small subunit ribosomal RNA", at positions 355 to 774 of the family's 1533-position model. The record is from RNAcentral.
UCGGGAAUUUUGGGCAAUGGGCGAAAGCCUGACCCAGCAACGCCGCGUGAGGGAUGAAGUAUUUCGGUAUGUAAACCUCGAAAGAAUGGGAAGAAUAAAUGACGGUACCAUUUAUAAGCUCCGGCUAACUACGUGCCAGCAGCCGCGGUAAUACGUAGGGAGCAAGCGUUGUUCGGAUUUACUGGGCGUAAAGGGCGCGUAGGCGGCGCGGUAAGUCACUUGUGAAAUCUCUGAGCUUAACUCAGAACGGCCAAGUGAUACUGCUGUGCUAGAGUGCGGAAGAGGCAACCGGAAUUCUCGGUGUAGCGGUGAAAUGCGUAGAUAUCAAGAGGAACACCUGAGGCGAAGGCGGGUUGCUGGGCCGACACUGACGCUGAUGCGCGAAAGCCAGGGGAGCAAACG